GUGAGGAAUUUUCCGCAAUGGGCGAAAGCCUGACGGAGCAAUGCCGCGUGAAGGAUGAAGGCCUAUGGGUUGUAAACUUCUUUUCUUAGAGAAGAAUAUUGACGGUAUCUGAGGAAUAAGCAUCGGCUAACUCUGUGCCAGCAGCCGCGGUAAGACAGAGGAUGCAAGCGUUAUCCGGAAUGAUUGGGCGUAAAGCGUCUGUAGGUGGCUUCAAAAGUCUCCUGUCAAAGAUCAGGGCUUAACCCUGGGCCGGCAGGAGAAACUCUGAGGCUAGAGUUUGGUAGGGGCAGAGGGAAUUCCCGGUGGAGGGGUGAAAUGCGUAGAGAUCGGGAGGAACACCAAAGGCGAAAGCACUCUGCUGGGCCACAACUGACACUGAGAGACGAAAGCGAGGGGAGCAAAAGGGAUUAGAUACCCGAGUAGUCC
RNAcentral lists this ribosomal RNA (426 nucleotides) under uncultured bacterium. RNAcentral describes it as "partial 16S ribosomal RNA". It matches the Rfam family "Bacterial small subunit ribosomal RNA", at positions 354 to 796 of the family's 1533-position model. The record is from RNAcentral.